This is a long non-coding RNA of Dermacentor andersoni, 1217 nucleotides long. RefSeq lists it as uncharacterized. NCBI's taxonomy places the organism in Eukaryota, Metazoa, Arthropoda, Arachnida, Ixodida, Ixodidae. The record is from RefSeq and is a predicted model, not a curated record.
CGGCACCGAGGAGUAAUAUGGAGAACGUGAGCAUCUGCUCGAAGAAGUGUCAGAUUUGAUGCGGAACGCCGGAUGAGCACUUGCUGCUCUCAAUGUAUGAUAAUGAGUGUACAGAGCCACCAGUUGGAGAAAUGGCUAGCGACCCUACUCCAGACGACAGCUGCGCGAGCAGGCCGACUCAAGAAGCGGCAGCCAUUCAAUCACCACUCGACAGCACACAAGUAGAGGAGGCCACUGGAGACAGCGAUGCGAACCAGCACGCUCAAGUGCCCAUCCACAAGCGCACAAGUCGGCGACACAUGCAAGCUGCCCCAACAGGUACGGCAAAUCAAAGUUGCAUGAUUUGUUAAGGUGUAUCUUCUAACGCCUAGCUCCGUUUAUAUUAAGACUGUAUACACACACUACGUCGCUGUUUUUUUUUUUCGUUCAUAUUUUUCAAUUUGAGUAGAUGCUUAACGUUGAUUAGAGACGAAUGUAAGACGGUGGUGAACGAUGUGAUAACCUGCUGCUGUCGCAGUGUAUGAGUUGUGAGACAAAGUAAUCGAAGUCUGUUAACAUGGAGCGCUAUUUGUUUCACAUUUGCUUCUUUUUUUUUCUUUUACAAGAAUUAGACGCAUCCAGACUACGGGGACUGAGCUCUUGCGAAGGAGAGAGGAGAACGAGUUUAUUCUCCACCAGAAAGAAAUAGAAAUCAGGCAGAGAAGGCUUGAAUAUGAUGAAAGGUGCCUGGCCCUUGAAGAACGGAAGCAGGUGACAGAAACUCGAUGCCCAGGGUUAUGAAGAAAAUAUAAAAAUGCUUCGCAGCAUUAAAACUGCGCUCGAGGAGCAGCAAAAACAAAUUAUAAGCCUUUUCAAAUAAAGUGCUUUCACUGUGUGACUCAGUUCUGUGGCCUCGAAUAACCCUCCAGCUGCGGAGGUUCAACCCCAAAAUGCUGCGAGACCUGCGAACCGUACAUACAUGGUGUGACAAUUUGCAAGUACAGCCCCAGCUUUGUACAUCCGAGAAAUAUUUUGUCUCUUCUGCUUCUGAUUCUUUCGAAAACCCAAGAAUGCAAACAGGCCUGCUAUCUUUCCAAAACUCCACUCCACUGAUUACCUUACAGUGCUAAUUUUCUUGUUGAAAGCAUACUGCAGCAAGGUUAUGCUAGUCCUGCCAUAAGGUUUCAGCAGCAGAGGUCGCAAGGGAUAAGCGGGAUCACCGCACAGAAAAAAGCUGC